Long non-coding RNA from Chelonia mydas (Green sea turtle), 197 nucleotides. RefSeq lists it as uncharacterized. The record is from RefSeq and is a predicted model, not a curated record. The transcript has 3 exons. NCBI's taxonomy places the organism in Eukaryota, Metazoa, Chordata, Testudines, Cheloniidae.
GUGCGCCGCUGCUUUGUUCCAGGGACCGCCACGGACUCAGAGGACGAGGAGAAGGUAGCAGUGGACAUGGCCAUGAGGAGGCUGCUCUCAAGAACAUCCGAGAGCAGUUCCAAGGCCGAGAAAAGGAUGAGGCCCAGCAACUCAUGUUCCUGCAUGCCAUCCACCCUGCAUGUCUCGCUGCACAGCAGAGAGGGCAG